GAGUUUGAUCCUGGCUCAGGAUGAACGCUGGCGGCGUGCUUAACACAUGCAAGUCGAGCGAAGCAUUAAAACCGAUUUCUUCGGAAUGAAGUUUUAAUGACUGAGCGGCGGACGGGUGAGUAACGCGUGGGUGACCUGCCUCAUACAGGGGGAUAACAGACAGAAAUGUCUGCUAAUACCGCAUAAGCGCACAGUGCUGCAUGGCACAGUGUGAAAAACUCCGGUGGUAUGAGAUGGACCCGCGUCUGAUUAGCUAGUUGGUAAGGUAACGGCUUACCAAGGCGACGAUCAGUAGCCGGCCUGAGAGGGUGAACGGCCACAUUGGGACUGAGACACGGCCCAAACUCCUACGGGAGGCAGCAGUGGGGAAUAUUGCACAAUGGGGGAAACCCUGAUGCAGCGACGCCGCGUGAAGGAAGAAGUAUUUCGGUAUGUAAACUUCUAUCAGCAGGGAAGAAAAUGACGGUACCUGACUAAGAAGCCCCGGCU
RNAcentral lists this ribosomal RNA (489 nucleotides) under uncultured bacterium. Its description in RNAcentral is "bacterial SSU rRNA". It matches the Rfam family "Bacterial small subunit ribosomal RNA", at positions 9 to 498 of the family's 1533-position model. The record is from RNAcentral.